GUAAGAAUUGUGAAGGCUUACGGUCAGC
RNAcentral lists this small RNA (28 nucleotides) under Bombyx mori (domestic silkworm). Its description in RNAcentral is "ovarian small RNA-17612". The record is from RNAcentral. Lineage: Eukaryota; Metazoa; Arthropoda; Insecta; Lepidoptera; Bombycidae.